This 253-nucleotide ribosomal RNA is filed under the name uncultured bacterium. RNAcentral describes it as "partial 16S ribosomal RNA". It matches the Rfam family "Bacterial small subunit ribosomal RNA", at positions 524 to 776 of the family's 1533-position model. The record is from RNAcentral.
UACAGAGGGUGCAAGCAUUAAUCGGAUUUAUUGGGCGUAAAGGGCGCGUAGGCGGUAAGAUAAGUCAGAUGUGAAAUCCCGGGGCUCAACCCCGGAACAGCAUUUGAAACUGUCUUUCUAGAGGGUAGGCGGAGAAAACGGAAUUCCACAAGUAGCGGUGAAAUGCGUAGAUAUGUGGAAGAACACCGGUGGCGAAGGCGGUUUUCUAGCUUAUUCCUGACGCUAAUGCGCGAAAGCAAGGGGAUCAAACAGG